This 648-nucleotide ribosomal RNA is filed under the name Strangalia koyaensis. RNAcentral describes it as "partial large subunit ribosomal RNA". It matches the Rfam family "Eukaryotic large subunit ribosomal RNA", at positions 392 to 788 of the family's 3401-position model. The record is from RNAcentral. Lineage: Eukaryota; Metazoa; Arthropoda; Insecta; Coleoptera; Cerambycidae.
AGAGUACGUGAAACCGUUCAGGGGUAAACCUGAGAAACCCGAAAGGUCGAAAGGGGAAAUUCAUUCGCGUUUCGGCUUCGUCGGCGUUGGAUGGUCGAGUGACGGAUGGCGUACGCGUCGUCCGCGCCUUCCUUUCUUCGAACCGGCGCCGAACGCGUGCACUUUUCCCCUAGUAGGACGUCGCGAUCCGUUGGGUGUCGGUCUAAGGCACUUGCGGUGGAGCCCGUGCGGACGUUUCGGCGUCCGCUCGGACCCGUGGUGUUCCGGCCGACUCGCUCGACGGUAUACAGAUGGCGCGGGGCCGCUACUCAGUUAGCGUUCGGCCUGUGGCAAGCGCGUUCGGCGUUUGACGGCGAUCGGACCUGGUGCCGGUCCUGUCCCCGAACGACUGUUGGCUGCGGUGUUCUCGAACAGACCUCGUCUUUGAAACGCCGAUCUGCGACGCUAUAGCUUUGGGUACUUUCAGGACCCGUCUUGAAACACGGACCAAGGAGUCUAGCAUGUGCGCGAGUCAUUGGGACAUAACUAAACCUAAAGGCGCAAUGAAAGUGAAGGUCCGCCUUGCGCGGACCGAGGGAGGAUGGGCGGUUCGCCCUUAAAAGUGGCCGCCCCGCACUCCCGGGGCGUCUCGUUCUCAUUGCGAGAAGA